RNAcentral lists this small RNA (420 nucleotides) under Pongo abelii (Sumatran orangutan). RNAcentral's name for it is "retained intron". The record is from RNAcentral. Lineage: Eukaryota; Metazoa; Chordata; Mammalia; Primates; Hominidae.
AGGCUUCUGCCAGCCCCUUUGUCAAGGAGGAUCGGAGAUGCGGGCUGGAGCGUGAGUAGCCUGGAUACCUGGCUGGUCCCUGGGCUCUGUGGCUUCUGAACCCAGGGUGCUUGGCACUGCCUCCCACUGACACCUGCUGCCCGGGUCUCAUUGUAGAAUCAAGCCAGGGAGGACUUCGACCAGGCCAUCGGCUGGUGCGUCUCCCUCAUCACCGACUACAGGGUCCGGUUAGGCUGUGGGUCUUUUGCUGGCUCUUUCCUGGAAUAUUACGCGGCUGAUAUAAGCUAUCCUGUCCGAAAAUCCAUCCAGCAGGACGUCCUGGGGACCAAGUUUCCUCAACUGAGCAAGGGGAGCCCCGAGGAGCCCGUGGUGGGGUGCCCCCUGGGGCAGAGGCAGCCCUGCCGGAAAGUGCUCCCCGAC